ACGAUUAAAGCUCUCUCUCGGAGAGUGCAUAGAGUGGCGCACGGGUGAGUAACACGUAAGUAAUCUACCUUCGAGUGGGGAAUAACAACCGGAAACGGUUGCUAAUACCGCAUAAUGCAGCGGCAUCGCAAGAUGACAGUUGUUAAAGAUUUAUCGCUUGAAGAGGAGCUUGCGGCAGAUUAGCUAGUUGGUAAGGUAAUGGCUUGCCAAGGCUACGAUCUGUAACCGGUCUAAGAGGACGGUCGGUCACACUGACACUGAACAACGGGUCAGACUCCUACGGGAGGCAGCAGUCGGGAAUUUUGGGCAAUGGGCGAAAGCCUGACCCAGCAACGCCGCGUGAAGGAUGAAGUAUUUCGGUAUGUAAACUUCGAAAGAAUGGGAAGAAUAAAUGACGGUACCAUUUAUAAGGUCCGGCUAACUACGUGCCAGCAGCCGCGGUAAUACGUAGGGACCAAGCGUUGUUCGGAUUUACUGGGCGUAAAGGGCGCGUAGGCGGCGUGGCAAGUCACUUGUGAAAUCUCCGGGCUUAACUCGGAACGGCCAAGUGAAACUGCCAUGCUAGAGUGCAGAAGGGGCAAUCGGAAUUCUUGGUGUAGCGGUGAAAUGCGUAGAUAUCAAGAGGAACACCUGAGGUGAAGACGGGUUGCUGGGCUGACACUGACGCUGAGGCGCGAAAGCCAGGGGAGCAAACGGGAUUAGAUACCCCGGUAGUCCUGGCCCUAAACGAUGAAUACUUGGUGUCUG
RNAcentral lists this ribosomal RNA (747 nucleotides) under uncultured bacterium. RNAcentral describes it as "bacterial SSU rRNA". It matches the Rfam family "Bacterial small subunit ribosomal RNA", at positions 66 to 826 of the family's 1533-position model. The record is from RNAcentral.